AAUCAACGCUGGCGGCGUGCCUAACACAUGCAAGUCGAACGCGAAAGCCCCGCAAGGGGUAAGUAGAGUGGCAAACGGGUGAGUAACACGUGGGUGACCUGCCUUCGAGUGGGGGAUAACGUCCCGAAAGGGACGCUAAUACCGCAUGACAUCCUGCUUUUGAAAAAGCGGAGAUCAAAGCUGGGGAUCGCAAGACCUAGCGCUUGAAGAGGGGCCCGCGCCUGAUUAGCUAGUUGGUGAGGUAACGGCUCACCAAGGCGACGAUCAGUAUCCGGCCUGAGAGGGCGGACGGACACACUGGGACUGAGACACGGCCCAGACUCCUACGGGAGGCAGCAGUGGGGAAUUGUUCGCAAUGGGCGCAAGCCUGACGACGCAACGCCGCGUGGAGGACGAAGAUCUUCGGGUCGUAAACUCCUGUCGAGCGGGACGAACGCUUCGCGGAUGAAUAAUCCGCGGAAUUGACGGUACCGCUAAAGGAAGCCCCGGCUAACUCCG
RNAcentral lists this ribosomal RNA (498 nucleotides) under uncultured bacterium. Its description in RNAcentral is "partial 16S ribosomal RNA". It matches the Rfam family "Bacterial small subunit ribosomal RNA", at positions 32 to 505 of the family's 1533-position model. The record is from RNAcentral.